CAGUCGCCGCGGUAAUACGGAGGGUGCAAGCGUUAUCCGGAUUUAUUGGGUUUAAAGGGUCCGUAGGCGGAUCUGUAAGUCAGUGGUGAAAUCUCACAGCUUAACUGUGAAACUGCCAUUGAUACUGCAGGUCUUGAGUAAAUUUGAAGUGGCUGGAAUAAGUAGUGUAGCGGUGAAAUGCAUAGAUAUUACUUAGAACACCAAUUGCGAAGGCAGGUCACUAAGAUUUAACUGACGCUGAUGGACGAAAGCGUGGGGAGCGAACAGGAUUAGAUACCCGCGUAGUCCCUGUCCUUAUACA
Molecule: ribosomal RNA, 301 nt
Filed under: uncultured bacterium
Lineage: Bacteria
Description: partial 16S ribosomal RNA
Rfam family: Bacterial small subunit ribosomal RNA
Source: RNAcentral